RNAcentral lists this ribosomal RNA (693 nucleotides) under Salmonella enterica. RNAcentral describes it as "bacterial SSU rRNA". It matches the Rfam family "Bacterial small subunit ribosomal RNA", at positions 1 to 687 of the family's 1533-position model. Lineage: Bacteria; Pseudomonadati; Pseudomonadota; Gammaproteobacteria; Enterobacterales; Enterobacteriaceae. The record is from RNAcentral. RNAcentral also lists the same sequence under 1 other name.
UGAAGAGUUUGAUCAUGGCUCAGAUUGAACGCUGGCGGCAGGCCUAACACAUGCAAGUCGAACGGUAACAGGAAGCAGCUUGCUGCUUUGCUGACGAGUGGCGGACGGGUGAGUAAUGUCUGGGAAACUGCCUGAUGGAGGGGGAUAACUACUGGAAACGGUGGCUAAUACCGCAUAACGUCGCAAGACCAAAGAGGGGGACCUUCGGGCCUCUUGCCAUCAGAUGUGCCCAGAUGGGAUUAGCUUGUUGGUGAGGUAACGGCUCACCAAGGCGACGAUCCCUAGCUGGUCUGAGAGGAUGACCAGCCACACUGGAACUGAGACACGGUCCAGACUCCUACGGGAGGCAGCAGUGGGGAAUAUUGCACAAUGGGCGCAAGCCUGAUGCAGCCAUGCCGCGUGUAUGAAGAAGGCCUUCGGGUUGUAAAGUACUUUCAGCGGGGAGGAAGGUGUUGUGGUUAAUAACCGCAGCAAUUGACGUUACCCGCAGAAGAAGCACCGGCUAACUCCGUGCCAGCAGCCGCGGUAAUACGGAGGGUGCAAGCGUUAAUCGGAAUUACUGGGCGUAAAGCGCACGCAGGCGGUCUGUCAAGUCGGAUGUGAAAUCCCCGGGCUCAACCUGGGAACUGCAUUCGAAACUGGCAGGCUUGAGUCUUGUAGAGGGGGGUAGAAUUCCAGGUGUAGCGGUGAAAU